CAGGCCUGGCUGGACGGUCCCCCCUUCGGGUGAGUACUGUCUGUGGUCGGGUCGAUCCUUCUGGCGAAGCGUCAUGGCCUUAACCGGCCGUGGCGGGGAACCAGGACUUUUACUGUGAAAAAAUUAGAGUGUUCAAAGCAGGCAAUCGCUUGGAUACAUUAGCAUGGAAUAAUGGAAUAGGACAAUGGUUCUAUUUGUUGGUUUCUAGGACCGUUGUAAUGAUUAAUAGGGAUAGUUGGGGGCAUUAGUAUUCAAUUGUCAGAGGUGAAAUUGUUGGAUUUAUUGAAGACUAACUACUGCGAAAGCAUUUGCCAAGGAUGUU
Molecule: ribosomal RNA, 322 nt
Filed under: uncultured Paraglomus
Lineage: Eukaryota; Fungi; Glomeromycota; Glomeromycetes; Paraglomerales; Paraglomeraceae
Description: SSU rRNA
Rfam family: Eukaryotic small subunit ribosomal RNA (bases 94-322)
Source: RNAcentral